GUGCGGGAGUACUUGAAACGAGUGAAGGCAAACGAUGAUUACAACCGUCAGAUGAUGACGGCUAUGUUGGCGUCUUGGACUAACCGCACGGAUCCACCACAAAUGGGACCCCCACCACCACCUGCGGGAGAACCCCCACACGUGCCCACGUUCGAUGAAUGGGUGGCACUAGGCAGUGAUGGUCCGGGGACCGGUGGCUCGACUCCUGCUCCGUCGACCCCAGUCACUCCGAUCUGGCAGAGUGGUGGUGGUCGCGAUGGCGGUUUUGGCGGAGGUGGU
Non-coding RNA from Triticum urartu, 279 nucleotides. The record is from RefSeq and is a predicted model, not a curated record. Lineage: Eukaryota; Viridiplantae; Streptophyta; Magnoliopsida; Poales; Poaceae.